This 519-nucleotide long non-coding RNA is filed under the name Triticum aestivum (bread wheat). Its description in RNAcentral is "long non-coding RNA (TAES_LNC017619)". The record is from RNAcentral. Lineage: Eukaryota; Viridiplantae; Streptophyta; Magnoliopsida; Poales; Poaceae.
UCCAGUCCUUCGCUAGGUCCAACCUACCCUGCACCAGCCUCAAGCACGUGAGACACUGUUACCUUGUGUUCUAACUGGUUACCACAAUCAAAUCCAUUUUUGCCCAGUUAAAUUAGUUAGCUCAUUUUGUUGAUAACUGAGUUGCAUUGGUAAUAUAUACUGAACUGUCUUUGGCAUUCUGUUUUGCAAUAUAUUCUAAUUGUCAGUAUUUUUGCUACAUUUUUGGUGUAGAUUUUAGGGACAUUAAUGUAGUGCUAAUGCCUUCCGUGCAGGUUAUUCAGUCAACGCAUAUUCUGUCUUUUGGCAUGUGUAUGCUUGCUCUUGUGCUCAUGUUGUAAUCGUGACCUGUAAUCAGUCCAUGAUCCUUGUGUGACCAGAAGUUGGGCAUAACUGCAUUGUUACUGAGAAGAUGUGAAUAUUAACUUAGGGAUCGGAGCUGAAGCUCUAGCCGAUAGCAAAGAUAUGAAGUCUGUGCUCUGUCUUAUGUUUGCAAGUAUAUUGAUGUAACUUCACAUCUUG